Molecule: ribosomal RNA, 326 nt
Filed under: uncultured bacterium
Lineage: Bacteria
Description: bacterial SSU rRNA
Rfam family: Bacterial small subunit ribosomal RNA
Source: RNAcentral
GACGAACGCGUGGCGGCGUGCCUAAUACAUGCAAGUGGAACGCAGUGAUUGAUACCGGAGCUUGCUCCACCAUUAAUCAUGAGUCGCGAACGGGUGAGUAACGCGUAGGUAACCUACCUCAUAGCGGGGGAUAACUAUUGGAAACGAUAGCUAAUACCGCAUAACAGUAUUUAUCGCAUGGUAAAUGCUUGAAAGGAGCAACUGCUUCACUAUGAGAUGGACCUGCGUUGUAUUAGCUAGUUGGUGGGGUAACGGCUCACCAAGGCCUCGAUACAUAGCCGACCUGAGAGGGUGAUCGGCCACACUGGGACUGAGACACGGCCCAG